AGCGAACGCUGGCGGCAGGCUUAACACAUGCCAGUCGAACGGGCAUAGCAAUAUGUCAGUGGCAGACGGGUGAGUAACGCGUGGGAACGUACCUUUUGGUUCGGAACAACACAGGGAAACUUGUGCUAAUACCGGAUAAGCCCUUACGGGGAAAGAUUUAUCGCCGAAAGAUCGGCCCGCGUCUGAUUAGCUAGUUGGUAGGGUAAUGGCCUACCAAGGCGACGAUCAGUAGCUGGUCUGAGAGGAUGAUCAGCCACAUUGGGACUGAGACACGGCCCAAACUCCUACGGGAGGCAGCAGUGGGGAAUAUUGGACAAUGGGCGAAAGCCUGAUCCAGCCAUGCCGCGUGAGUGAUGAAGGCCCUAGGGUUGUAAAGCUCUUUUGUGCGGGAAGAUAAUGACGGUACCGCAAGAAUAAGCCCCGGCUAACUUCGUG
RNAcentral lists this ribosomal RNA (435 nucleotides) under uncultured bacterium. RNAcentral describes it as "partial 16S ribosomal RNA". It matches the Rfam family "Bacterial small subunit ribosomal RNA", at positions 29 to 507 of the family's 1533-position model. The record is from RNAcentral.